RNAcentral lists this long non-coding RNA (261 nucleotides) under Mytilus galloprovincialis (Mediterranean mussel). Lineage: Eukaryota; Metazoa; Mollusca; Bivalvia; Mytilida; Mytilidae. The record is from RNAcentral.
UCCAAACCCUCCCCCUUACCUGGGACAGCAUGUAUUGGGCAGUAGGUAAUUCAUAGUUAAGAAUUUGAAUAUCACUAUAGAAAAUUACCAGUUUAUCAUAUUUUUCUGUAUUUGAUUCAUUGUUUUCUAACUUUGCAACGUAAGAGGGGACAACUCAAAUGUAAGGGAAGAUAAUUCAGAUAAAGUUACCUUUACAAACGAAUGUGUUGGGAAUUUACCUAUUUUGUUACGUAAGAAAAUGAGUCCCGUGAACCCAUUUUU